Suricata suricatta (meerkat) is the source of this 105-nucleotide small nuclear RNA. NCBI's taxonomy places the organism in Eukaryota, Metazoa, Chordata, Mammalia, Carnivora, Herpestidae. The record is from Ensembl.
GUUUUAGAGAGAGAGAGAAAGCACACAAGCAGGGAAUAAUACAGAGAAGAUUAGCAUGUCCUGCACCAGGAUGACAAGCAAAUUUAUGAAUCAUUCCAUAUUUUU